This 79-nucleotide transfer RNA is filed under the name Anguilla anguilla (European eel). RNAcentral describes it as "tRNA-Gly". Lineage: Eukaryota; Metazoa; Chordata; Actinopteri; Anguilliformes; Anguillidae. The record is from RNAcentral.
GGCAGGGUAGGGCAGUGGGUAGCCCUGUUGCCUCCCAGUCAGAAGGUCUCCUGUUCGAAUCCCGUCCAGUACCUUGCUG